GCCGCCAUGCGAACCACGGUUAUUUCCACCCGUGGCGCACAGGCCCGAGAUGACCAGCAGAGCGCCAGGACGCGUCCUUUCCGGAGGGGUUCAGGCAACGCUGAAGGUGAGGAUGGUCACCGGGCCCCAGAAGGCCAGGGUCGGCCUGACAGAGGAAGAGCGAUAAUGGAAGCUGCUGUAGCUCCUCCCAGGGCUGAGCAGGCACCACGUGCCCCAGGACCUGGUGGAGAUGUAGCACCCUUGGCUGUAAUGCCUAGACGUAGAGUGAUGGUGUUCACAGUCAGAGUGACUUUCCUAUCCCCACUGGAGGCACACUUGACUCUCAGGUCUCUGCUCCGAGAUGUCCAAUGCCACCAAGGAACGAUUCGGAAGCAAUAUGCAGUGAUUGGCUGCAACCUGAUUGUUAGAUGGACUACUGAAGACCUGGCUUCGAUCCAAAUUUCCAUCAACCCAUUCCUCCAUAAGCUUUCCCUGGUGAUUCAGAACAUUCGGAGCCUUGGGAUCCCACCUUUCCUAGGCUGAGGAAAGUGGCUGAAGCCUAACCUUGUGUCCCUUACCUGACAAGGCAUAGGAGAUUCAAACUUAAGAGCCAUCACUGCUUUGUUAUUUGAGUGUAAGUUUUUGCCUUUACUGGCCUUUGGUAUCUCUUGGUUCACUUUGUUUCCCUGCUACUUGAGGAGUGGGAUGCUUCA
This is a long non-coding RNA of Odocoileus virginianus texanus, 692 nucleotides long. RefSeq lists it as uncharacterized. The record is from RefSeq and is a predicted model, not a curated record. Lineage: Eukaryota; Metazoa; Chordata; Mammalia; Artiodactyla; Cervidae.